This 402-nucleotide ribosomal RNA is filed under the name uncultured bacterium. RNAcentral describes it as "bacterial SSU rRNA". It matches the Rfam family "Bacterial small subunit ribosomal RNA", at positions 355 to 747 of the family's 1533-position model. The record is from RNAcentral.
UGGGGAAUUUUGGACAAUGGGCGAAAGCCUGAUCCAGCCAUGCCGCGUGAGUGAAGAAGGCCUUCGGGUUGUAAAGCUCUUUUAGUCGGAAAGAAAAGAUCAUAAUGAACAAUUAUGAUUCAUGACGGUACCGACAGAAAAAGCACCGGCUAACUACGUGCCAGCAGCCGCGGUAAUACGUAGGGUGCGAGCGUUAAUCGGAAUUACUGGGCGUAAAGGGUGCGCAGGCGGUUUUGUAAGUCAGAUGUGAAAUCCCCGGGCUUAACCUGGGAAUUGCGUUUGAAACUGCAAGACUAGAGUGCAGCAGAGGGGAGUGGAAUUCCGAUGUGUAGCAGUGAAAUGCGUAGAGAUGUGGAAGAACACCGAUGGCGAAGGCAGCGUCCCUGGGUUGACACUGACGCU